Molecule: long non-coding RNA, 3066 nt
Filed under: Physcomitrium patens
Lineage: Eukaryota; Viridiplantae; Streptophyta; Bryopsida; Funariales; Funariaceae
Description: long non-coding RNA (PPAT_LNC011608)
Source: RNAcentral
AUCCAAGCAAAAUGGAUGUGGCGGAGAAGUUUAUUCAAGACAAUCCAUAGUAAGGCUUAACACACCAAUAUACACAUGAAGAAGAACUUCUUCGCAUCACGGAACAGAUGCAACCAGACGUAGAAAACCUAUUACUAGCAUUCGGGAUCGACAUUGCCACAAUAGGAGCCACAAGAGCGCCCACUCAUCCAACUUCUGAUGUAACGCAACCCGAUCCUGCACAUACAAAAACAAGAGCCAAUAUCAGUCAAGAGAUGAUGUAACUCAUGAAGGACCAAAUUGCAUUUGAGGAAAGUCACACCCUGAUAGAAUACUUGAGGAAAAAUCCUGGCCCAAGCAUACUCCACGAGUGGGCCACAAGAGUUCUACACAACUCCUACACCUCAACAACGAUGCUUGGGGGAGGUUACUUCAAAAUAUAAUUUAUGAGCAAACAAGGAAAACUACACAUGCUAUCUAAACCAUAUCAAUUCAACAACGAAGAUAUAUUAUUUUCCACCUGGAGAGCCGACUUCGACCUGGAAUCGGAAACCGACACGCACCAAACCUCCUCCCAAAUCUGGGCACAACUCCGAGGCUUAAGAAGGAUUUUUCGCACAACACAGUUUCUCACAGAAGCCUUUUCCACUAUCGAAGAAGUCAUAGCCGUUGACUCCACCAAAUCUUACCAAAACAAAGCUUCUGGUUCUAAGGUUCAGUUACCAGUCUAGGAUGUAGUCAACCUCCCACAUACUUCAGUUCUUCCCAAGAGGUGAACAUGAAUACCGAAUUGACUACAGUGUACUAUCCUCCUAGUGCAAUAGAUGUAGAAGUACUACACACCACGCUAAACACUGUACACUACCGUGGAGAGAAGAGCGCAAGAGAUCCAGAUAGAAAACCCCAACCUUGGAAAACUCGGUAACCGACAACCUCACCCAACACAGACAGACCAAUGGUGAAGAGAAAACAUUGAAAAAUGUAGGACCUAGGAAGAAGAACAGUGCAACUCUUCUACGCACCAAAUACAUCUGGGUAGAAAAGAAACCAACAAAAUCCACAGACACACAUGAAGGACCAGAAAAACCAUCUGAAUCAAUCAUAUACAACUCACCACAUACAAUUGAGCUUUUGGAGAGCUCUGGGAUCAGAACCGCCUUGCAAAGGAACAACUUAUGAGCAAAUUACAGUAGCUUUAGUUUGGUCAUCUCAAAACAACUUCCUUGAAACCCUGGUUUGCAAAGCUAGCGACACUCUGCUGUGCACAACACAACUGACUCACGUCCCAAAGGAGAAGGAUUGGUCAUCAUCAAUCGCUCAAACGCAUAUGGUUAACACCACAAUGCAAAAGCUCCAAACACAGAUAACCAAUAGAGGAAAUGGCCCCAACUUGCUCCGCACCUAGUCAGACGCAAUAUGGGUUUCAGAAUAGCUCAACUAAAAAUCUACUCACACAAACAAUUGGAUUACUAUCUUGCCAUACGACAAAAGCACCACAGCGAUCAAACAUCAAUAAACAAAGCACUGGAAGCAGAUACCAUCAUCAACAUCCCCCCCACAAGCUCUCAUACUAGAAAGGGUAAAGGAGAUAUCAUAUGGCCAAUGGUGUCAGACAAUCAUCCAUCUCCAAGAUUAACACACCCAGGAUGUGAACUCCUCUCCUCUAACUCACUUUGAGCAGAAACUCGGAGAGAACAACACAUCUAUUAUACAUGAAUGAUGGCCUAACAAUGGCCACAUACAACAUCCAGUGCUUAGGCGAAGGACUGGAUGGCGUCAGAAAAUGCUGUAAGCUUCGAAACUUAAUGCAAAAGACCUAUCUCAAACCCAACCUUAUAUUAUUACAAGAACAUCAAUUCAACCAUACUAACUGUACCAAACAAGCUACACAACUAGAUUUUCUACAAGGUACAAUGCUUUGGAACACCGUAGUGUACUCAGCACAAAAAGUGGCUUAGUUGGUGGAACAGCUAUUUUGGUAUCCAACAAACUCACCGAUAACCUAAAAGAACAUGGAGUGAUAGUCUGAGGAAGAGCGCAACGCUCCAUUUUCAAAAUCAGCCCCACAGUUCAAAUAGGCAUUCUAAAUGUCUAUGGUUACAGCCACACAGAACCCCGUGCAAGACUAUGGCAGAAAAUAGCAGACCACCCUUUACCAGAAGCCCUCUGGAUCAUGGGGGGCGAUUCUAAUUUUAUUGAGUCCCUCGAAGACAAGCAGGGUGGGAAUGCCAAUUUAAGACAAGGAACACAAGAAAUGACAGCAUGGAAUAACAUGCUCAUUAAACUAUAAGUUCAAGACAGUUUCCACAUGGGAGAAUUCUGCAAGAUUACCAAUAAACGCUUCACCUGGGAUAACAGAAGCCCAGCCCCGAAGACAGUACUCACCAAGCUAGAUAGAAUAUACAUUGGAGACAAACUCCAAGACUGAGGUGGACUAUGUGGAAUCUGGACAGCACAACCAAUCAUUUCGUAUUACACCCCUGCUUUCAUAAGAUUGAAACCUGCAUGCCGACCUCUACCCUAGAUGCAGUUCUUUGACAAACGACAACUAGAAUCAGUUGAAGGCAGACAACAUGUCACAGGAGCUUGAAAACAGGCCAUAUAAAACACUACAUAAACCAAAUGGAGCGAUAAAAUUGGCCUUACAAGCAGUAUGCAACACGAACCUAAAUAUUGCAAAAAAGAACAGACAGACUUGGAAAAAAUAGUACAAGAAUCAACUAAACCAGACACUCAAUGCCAAACUCCUCGUUCAAGAUAACUGAAAUGACCCAACGACGAGGGACACACUCAACACAACACAGCUAUAAUUACAAAAAAAUUGAUACAACAGGCUAGAAAAACAAUUCACAUUCCUUACAGUCAAAUGGACAAGAGUGAGAGACCGUUGCAACUCUGAGUUCUUUCAACACUACAGAGCUCGUCACUGCAAAGUCCGCAUCAAAGAAUCCAAUGAUAAGGACCGCAUUCAAAAGUUCCAGAAGCACAUGGCGCUUUAUGCACAAAGAUAUUACCAACAACUCUACACCCCAAACUCCACCGUUGAAUGCAAUGUAGACUCCGAAAGAGACACCUUAGCAAGCACUC